AUAGUUCCUCUCUUUCAUUUAUCUCUUUUGUGUUUUUUUUUCUUUUCUCGUAAUAAAUAAAUGAGAUAGGAGCACCACCCAUGUAAAUGUCAAGACUGAUGGAUCUAUUGAUGAUCAAACAUAGCCCUUUGGGGAACUUGUUUGAUACAGUCUUACACUGAAUUGAACAAUAGCGAAUAAUUAAUUUCCCAAAAGGAGCAAGCCCAGCUGGGAAAGGGAGCAACUUUCAUAAACAGGACACUCAGAAAUGAAUUUUUAGGCCUCUAAGGAGGAAGAACAGGACUCCUAGAACAGGAAAUACUCUUUAAACAAAUGUUUUCCCUAUAUAGGUAUCUCAGAACAUUAGUGCUUUAAGAAGAUUGUAAUCACUAUAGAAUACUACUGGAUAUUUUGGGGGGAAAUGCUUUCUAUUAUCGUGCCUUUUCAGUAGAUAAAGCUUUGUAAAAGCUAUCAACUGGAAAUCUGGACAUUGUCAAAGAGUAAUAACACUGUGCAUAUCCUUUGCCUCAACAAUACCACUACUAGCUCUAUGUCCCAAAGAUAUCUUUUUUUUGGAAAAAAAAAUAUUUAUUAGUAGCUAUUUUUGUAUUGUCAAAGAACUGGAAAACUGAAGAGCUAUCUAUUAAUUGGGAAAUGGCUGAACAAUUUGUGGUAUAUGAUUAUGAUGGAAUACUAUGAUUCCAUAAGAAAUGACAAGUUGACCACAAAAAAACAACAACCUUAAAAGACUUAUCUGAAGUAAAAGUGAAGUAAGCAGAACCAGGGAAUAUUGCACAUGGUACCAGCAAGAAUGUUCAAUGAUCAACUGUCAAUGAAUUUACUAUUACCAGAAUGCAAAACUCCAAGACAUCUACAAGGGACUCAUGAUAAAAAAAGGCUACCCAACACUAAAGAAGGAAAUCAAAUGGAGUCUGAAUGUAGAUUGAAGCAUACCAUCCUUCAUUUUAUUCCAUCCAUGGCUUUUUCUCUAAUAUGCAGAAAGUGAGGCGCAUAGUGGAAUAAUACCUUGCUUAAGACCAAACAGGUAACCAGAGAAAGAGAUAACAUUCAAUCUUAGUUUUCCUGACUCCAAAUCCAAUGGCUAAAGGAAAAGAAAAAUGAAAACUUCCCAGGUUGAAUAGCUUCUGAUGAUUCAGUUUUGCUAUUUGACUAGGAUGGUCCUCAGUGGCUAGGCCCAUAGCUGAAAUUUUUCUAGCUUCAGAGGAUUUAUCAUAUAUUUUACUCUAUUGGCAUUGACUUGGAGGAACACUGGUUACUGCCAUUCUUCAAUCUUUCUGGUAGACUUUGAAAUACUUCCUAAUACUAACCUUUUUUUCUGGUCAGUGUUUGAGAAUUUGUAUGACAGGCCUGCAUUAUCUGAUUUUGGAUCAUUGGUUCCAUUAAGUCAUUUAAGGCACUGUCCUUAAAACUUUCUUUAUUGCAUUAAAAGAUUUCAGCAGUCAAUCUGGAAAAUCUGAUGGUGAUUUCCUGGGAAAAUAUCUCCAUUUUACAAAUAGAGGGGGAAAAAAUAAAAUGGUUCCUUCCCAUUAUUUCUUCCA
Molecule: long non-coding RNA, 1538 nt
Filed under: Monodelphis domestica (gray short-tailed opossum)
Lineage: Eukaryota; Metazoa; Chordata; Mammalia; Didelphimorphia; Didelphidae
Description: lncRNA (ENSMODG00000047588.1)
Source: RNAcentral